Ipomoea nil (Japanese morning glory) is the source of this 1703-nucleotide RNA transcript. It is a transcript of the gene named probable glutamyl endopeptidase, chloroplastic, with no coding region annotated. The record is from RefSeq and is a predicted model, not a curated record. The transcript has 3 exons. NCBI's taxonomy places the organism in Eukaryota, Viridiplantae, Streptophyta, Magnoliopsida, Solanales, Convolvulaceae.
UAAUGUUUUUUCAACUGGGGAAAAAUCUGUUAUGGGUUGUUCUUGAUUCUAAUGCUAUGUUUUUGGGCUGCGAUUCAAUUGUGAGAAAUAUCAGGGUUUUUCUUGAUUCUGACGCUGCGUUAUUGGUGCAGUUGUCUGGUUUUAUAUUGUUGAGAAAUUGCAUCACUUUACAAUAGUUUACACUAUUUGUAGUGAGGGUUUCUAGAGUGCAUCUGUACGCAAUCUUAAAUUAGUGCAAAAUGGAUUGCGAAGUUUUCAAUGUAAAUUUAGAGUGUUUUCUCUUGUUUGGUUGGUGUUGAAGGUGCAAGACUUCGCAAGUAAUUAAUUUUGUUACACGGUACUUCAUGGAAGGGAAACGUUUUCCUUUUUCCAUAUGCUUCUGUAUAUGAAUUCACAUUGUAUUAAUCUAUUCUUUGAAUAUACAGUACAUUUUCUGCAAAAACAUGUCAUCUUUUUGUAUAACCUAUUUGCUAUUUCCUUUGAAGCCCAAAUAAUGGUCACUAUUUAGCCUUCAGUGUCCGAGUUGAGGAGGUACUUCAUUCGUUGGCUUCUUACAAAUGAUGCCCCAUGCUAUUACUAAUCUCUUUCUACAUUGUGGCAAACAUAUAUAUAAAUCGUUUCUUGCUAGGUAGUCCACUGUUAUAUUUAUUUUUUGUAUGAAAAUGUCUUUAGGCCUUAUAGUUAGCUUAUAAUCAUUUGACAGAAAUAUUCUGUUGAUCCAUUUUUGAAAUCCAUUCACUCUUUUAAUUUGUAAGGCCUUAUCAGCUUCCAGAAAGCAUCUUGAUAUGUAGACAUAUGUUGAAAUCCAUUUAUUUUAUAUAUCAGAGAACCUUAAACCUAUAACAUGCUAAAACCCAGGUCUUCGAUGUGAAAACAGGAACUGCUAGACCACUGUUCCAGUCUACAGAUGUGUACCUAAAUGCUAUUUUUGACAAGUAUUUACUUUUCUUUGUCUACAUUAUUUUUAAAAGAAAGUGAGUAAUUCUUUAUAUGUGCUGACACUUUUUUGCUAAUUCUCAUCUUUGUUUGGGUGAAUGACUCAACUCUAUUGGUUUGUAUCAUCCCAUUAUCUCGUGGAGAUCCACCAAAGAAGCCUUUAGUUCCAUCUGGACCUAAGGGCUGAGACACAAGAUGGUGGUGAUGCUAAAGUUGAAGCCUCUGCAUGUGAUAUAAUUUAUUCGUAGCCUGCUGAGCCACAUGAAAAUGAGCAGCCAACAGUCUUGCAUAAACUUGAUCUUCAAUAUGGGGAUUUCGUGGUGUGAUAACACACUGGCAUUGGUCUAUGAAUCAUGGUACAAGACAAGGAGAGUUAAAACUUGGGUUAUAUCUCCUGAAUCCAAAGAUGUUAAUCCAAGGAUACUGCUUGAUCGGUCAUCUGAAGAUGUUUAUUUUGAUCUCGGUUCUCCCAUGAUGAUGCGGAGAACUCCAGCUGGGACUUGUGUGAUUGCAAAGAUGAAGAAGGAAGGUGAUGAAGGAACUUUUGUUUUACUAAAUGGAAGUGGUGCUACACUAGAAGGAAACAUCCCAUUUUUGGAUCUAUUUGACAUGUGGGUUUGGUGAUCAUUAUGUACUUGUUAGAUCAUGAAAACUUAGGAGAUGAUUAGAUUAUGUUUGUUAAUAUAUUUGGUACUGUUUAUAAUGAUCCAACAUUACACAAUGCUAUACUUUUGUUAUUGUUAUUGAGUUUGAAUUUUUUAAUAUAA